RNAcentral lists this ribosomal RNA (1018 nucleotides) under Elodes apicalis. Its description in RNAcentral is "SSU rRNA". It matches the Rfam family "Eukaryotic small subunit ribosomal RNA", at positions 63 to 988 of the family's 1831-position model. The record is from RNAcentral. Lineage: Eukaryota; Metazoa; Arthropoda; Insecta; Coleoptera; Scirtidae.
GUACAAGCCGAGUUAAGGUGAAACCGCGAAAGGCUCAUUAAAUCAGUUAUGGUUCCUUAGAUCGNACCCACACUUACUUGGAUAACUGUGGUAAUUCUAGAGCUAAUACAUGCAAACAGAACUCCGACCGGAGACGGAAGGAGCGCUUUUAUUAGAUCAAAACCAAUCGGCGGCGACGCAGCGUUCGCGCGUUGCGCCGUCCGCCGUACACGUUGGCGAGUCUGAAUAACUUUACGCUGAUCGCACGGUCUCGCACCGGCGACGCAUCUUUCAAAUGUCUGCCUUAUCAACUGUCGAUGGUAGGUUCUGCGCCUACCAUGGUCGUAACGGGUAACGGGGAAUCAGGGUUCGAUUCCGGAGAGGGAGCCUGAGAAACGGCUACCACAUCCAAGGAAGGCAGCAGGCGCGCAAAUUACCCACUCCCGGCACGGGGAGGUAGUGACGAAAAAUAACGAUACGGGACUCAUCCGAGGCCCCGUAAUCGGAAUGAGUACACUUUAAAUCCUUUAACGAGGACCCAUUGGAGGGCAAGUCUGGUGCCAGCAGCCGCGGUAAUUCCAGCUCCAAUAGCGUAUAUUAAAGUUGUUGCGGUUAAAAAGCUCGUAGUUGAAUCUGUGUCUCGCGCCGCCGGUUCAUCGCUCGCGGUGUCAACUGGCGUGUCCGCGGGACGUCCCGCCGGUGGGCGUCGGCGAGGCGCGUUCGCGCGCGUCUCGCGGCCCAACUUAGAAAUCCCGCCGCGGUGCUCUUCGCUGAGUGUCGAGGUGGGCCGGCGCUUUUACUUUGAACAAAUUAGAGUGCUUAAAGCAGGCUGAAAAUUUCGCCUGAAUAUUGCGUGCAUGGAAUAAUAGAAUAGGACCUCGGUUCUAUUUUGUUGGUUUUCGGAACACCGAGGUAAUGAUUAAUAGGGACAGAUGGGGGCAUUCGUAUUGCGACGUUUGAGGUGAAAUUCUUGGAUCGUCGCAAGACGGACAGAAGCGAAAGCAUUUGCCAAAAAUGUUUUCAUUAAUCAAGAACGAAA